GAAAUGCGAUAAGUAGUGUGAAUUGCAGAAUUCAGUGAAUCAUCGAAUCUUUGAACGCACAUUGCGCCCUUUGGUAUUCCUUAGGGCAUGCCUGUUCGAGCGUCAUUUAAACCCUUCAAGCUCAGCUUGGUGUUGGGUGACUGUCCGCCGCCCCCGGGCGUGGACUCGCCCCAAAUCCAUUGGCGGCCGGUACGUAGGCUUCGAGCGCAGCAGAAACGCGAACUCGAGCCCGCGGUGUCGGCCCCCAGAAGCCAUCUCUUUUAUUUUGACCUCGGAUCAGGUAGGGAUACCCGCUGAACUUAAGC
Molecule: unclassified non-coding RNA, 305 nt
Filed under: plant metagenome
Description: partial contains 5.8S ribosomal RNA, internal transcribed spacer 2, and large subunit ribosomal RNA
Rfam family: 5.8S ribosomal RNA (bases 1-105)
Source: RNAcentral